Cavia aperea (Brazilian guinea pig) is the source of this 110-nucleotide small nucleolar RNA. Its record names the gene SNORA73. It matches the Rfam family "Small nucleolar RNA SNORA73 family". From Rfam's summary of the family: U17 (SNORA73A and SNORA73B) also known as E1 belongs to the H/ACA class of small nucleolar RNAs (snoRNAs). Vertebrate U17 is intron-encoded and ranges in length from 200-230 nucleotides, longer than most snoRNAs. The record is from Ensembl. NCBI's taxonomy places the organism in Eukaryota, Metazoa, Chordata, Mammalia, Rodentia, Caviidae.
UCCACAAGGCUGGGGAAGAGCUGGGCCUUGUGUCUGCGCCAGCAUAUUCCUACAGCUUCUCAGAGUCCUUUGGGCAAUGACUGAGCGGAUAAAUCAUGCAGGAAACAAUG